RNAcentral lists this ribosomal RNA (253 nucleotides) under uncultured bacterium. Its description in RNAcentral is "partial 16S ribosomal RNA". It matches the Rfam family "Bacterial small subunit ribosomal RNA", at positions 524 to 776 of the family's 1533-position model. The record is from RNAcentral.
UACGUAGGUGGCUAGCGUUAUCCGGAUUCAUUGGGUUUAAAGGGUGCGUAGGCGGCCUAUUAAGUCAGUGCUGAAAUACUUCCGCUCAACGGAAGAGGUGGCAUUGAUACUGAUGGGCUUGAGUACAGAUGAGGUAGGCGGAAUUGACGGUGUAGCGGUGAAAUGCAUAGAUAUCGUCAAGAACACCGAUAGCGAAGGCAGCUUACUAAGUUGUAACUGACGCUGAUGCACGAAAGUGUGGGGAUCAAACAGG